GACGAACGCUGGCGGCGUGCUUAACACAUGCAAGUCGAACGGGAACCUUUAUUUCGGUAAAGGUGAGAGUGGCAAACGGGUGAGUAACACGUAGGCAACCUGCCGACAGGAUGGGGACAACAUUCCGAAAGGAAUGCUAAUACCGAAUGGAGUCCGAGGAUGGCAUCAUCCUUGGAUCAAAGAUGGCCUCUGAAUAUGCUAUCGCCUGUCGAUGGGCCUGCGUCUGAUUAGCCAGUUGGCGGGGUAACGGCCCACCAAAGCGACGAUCAGUAGCCGGUCUGAGAGGAUGAACGGCCACAUUGGGACUGAGACACGGCCCAGACUCCUACGGGAGGCAGCAGUGGGGAAUCUUCCACAAUGGGCGAAAGCCUGAUGGAGCAACGCCGCGUGAGUGAAGAAGGUCUUCGGAUCGUAAAGCUCUGUUGCACGGGACGAAAACUGGGUUUGAGAACAUUGAACCCGGGGACGUACCGAGCGAGGAGCCACG
RNAcentral lists this ribosomal RNA (487 nucleotides) under Selenomonas sputigena. RNAcentral's name for it is "bacterial SSU rRNA". It matches the Rfam family "Bacterial small subunit ribosomal RNA", at positions 28 to 495 of the family's 1533-position model. Lineage: Bacteria; Bacillati; Bacillota; Negativicutes; Selenomonadales; Selenomonadaceae. The record is from RNAcentral.